Non-coding RNA from Orbicella faveolata, 76 nucleotides. NCBI's taxonomy places the organism in Eukaryota, Metazoa, Cnidaria, Anthozoa, Scleractinia, Merulinidae. The record is from the annotation of a RefSeq genome assembly.
GUUAGCGUGGCCGAGUGGUUAGGGCGCCGGACUUAAAAUCCGGAGGCCGCGGGUUCAAGUCCCGCUCCGGCUGACC